RNAcentral lists this long non-coding RNA (2642 nucleotides) under Mytilus galloprovincialis (Mediterranean mussel). The record is from RNAcentral. Lineage: Eukaryota; Metazoa; Mollusca; Bivalvia; Mytilida; Mytilidae.
CCCGCUGUGAAUAAUGUGCAUUAAAAAAUUGUAUCUUUACCAUAGGACAUGGGUUUGUCAACUGAAAUCAAAGUUUUUUGACCUUGACCUUUGACCUAGGAAGUUGUAAAUAAAUUAUGACACACCCUUUGGUGUUGGUUUAUAAACAUGUCAAGUAUAAACUUUGAAAUGAUAACGGUUCUCAAGAUAUAGAGCGGACACGAUCUUUACCAUAGGACAUGGGGUUGUCAACUGAAACCAAAGUUUUUGACCUUGACCUUUGACCUAGGAAGUUGCACAUAAAUUAUGACACACCCUUUGGUGUUGGUUUAUAUACAUGUCAAGUAUAAACUUUGAAAUGAUAACGGUUCUCAAGAUAUAGAGCGGACACAAUCUUUACCAUAGGACAUGGGGUUGUCAACUGAAACCAAAGUUUUUGACCUUGAACUUUGCCCUAGGCAGUCGUUCAUAAAUUAUGACACACCCUCUGGUGUUGGUUCAUAUACAUGUCAAGUAUAAACUUUGAAAUCAUAACGGUUCUCAAGAUAUAGAGCGGACACGAUCUUCACCACAGGACACAGGGUUGUCAACUGAAAUUAAAGUUUUUGACCUUGACCUUUGACCUAGGAAGUUUUACAUACAUCAUGACACACCCUCUGGUGUUGGUUAAAAUGGAUGUCAAGUAUAAACUUUGAAAUCAUAACGGUUUUUAAGAUAUAGAGCGGACACAAAGUUAAAGUGUUACGGACGGACGGACGGACGGACGGACGGACAGACUGAUCACUAUAGGGCGACCCGCCUUAGUCGGCGGGGCCCUAAUUACCAGAAAAAAACCUUAAUGAUCGUCGAUUUAUCCAAAAGUUUUAAAGUUACACAUAGGAAGUAGUGCUUUUUAAGAAUCCUUGUGUAGUUCAUUAGGACUUGUGCUUUUAGCUAAGAUGUCAAAGAACAAUUGUAUGAAAUAUUUAAUCGCCGAAAAUCUCUUAAGACAAGUAGUUUAGAUUUCCCAAAUGACAAAAGUCGUAGGAAUAUUGUUUGUCAUCAAUACGUAGUACAACUACGUCAGUAGUCUAUUAUAUAAUAAGUUCAACUGUUCAUGCUGUUGGCGGCAAUUUCAAAUUAGAAAAAGACAUUUUCGUAGCUUUUCAAUUUGGAGGCAGGUGUUCAAAUUAGCGGUGGUCCGAGGUCCGCGACCUUCAACUUUUGCAAGCGGAAUUUCGACUAGGAUAGUUGGUUUCUACAUUUAGCUACGACCGACGUACGUAGUCACCUUCCAUUUGAAAGAAAAUAAGAAAUUACUUUGCAAACCUUUUCACCAUGUUCACCAAAGUCUCCAAUUAAACGAGCUAAAACUUAUUUUUAUCAUUAUUAUUCAUGACGGCGAUGUUCAUUUUGUUCAACCGCUAGCUUUAUAUAGAAAAUCGCCGACAAAUAUUGUAUAAAUUCGAGUAAAAUCGUAUCUGAUUGACAAAAACAACAUUGUAAACACAUAACAAUGGCGGCCGUGAAGACAAAAUUUUACAAAAUCGGAUCUGAUUCCGGAAGCGGAUAAGGGUAAUUCCGGGUUUGGCAAUCAUUUUCAAAAUAAAUCCAAGCAGGUGUAAAAAAUACAUCUAUGCAUGGUAAAUGAAUAUAAACACUAGUAUUGUAAACCAAAAGAUAUAUGUAAAAGAAAGAAAAAGCACAAAAAUAUUUUAUUCAGAAACUCAAAAUUACUUUUUGACAAAUUUUGAUUUAAAAAUCCAAUACAACGUGACAGCAUGGAACAGUAUAUCUAACAAUAUACAUGGUCAUGGUCACAGUCUAAAUUUUCUUUAUAAAUGAUAAAUGAUGAUAAUGCAUGUGAGAUGCUUUUAAAGUGUAAACAUAUUACUGCAAUUUCGAGGGGUUAUUUGUUUUUUUUUCUCAAUUUUGAAGGGUCAAUUAAAGUAGCUGAAAGUUUCUUUCUUUAUUUUCACAAAUAAUACAACUAUAUUAUAUAUACCUUAAUGUAAGUAAAUCAUAUGAUAUAUAGGUGGCAUUCUUUGGGCCACUCUACCCCCUCCUGUUUGAAUAACUUGGAAACGGUCCAGCUCCCCACCCCUAAACCAUAUGAGGGGCAGAUCUAGGAUUUUAGGUUAAGAGGGGCGCAAACUUAAAUUUUCGACGAGCAGAGCGAGGCUAAAAAAAAUUUAGGUAAAAUUAUCGGAAUAUUCUUUAUCAAGCUGAGAACAACCCAUGCUUUGCAAAUUUAAGGGGGUGCAAGCCUGCAACCCUCCCCCGUCUGAAUCCGCCCCUGCAUAUAUUCAAGUAUAGGACAAUAUAAUAAAUAAAAAAUGAAAUAUAGGGGGAGUCCCUGGAGUUAUCCCACCCCUCCUGUUUGAGAACUUGGAAACGGUCGAGAUCCACACCCCUUAACCAUAUAUAUUCAUGUUUUUGACAAUAUAAAAAAUCAAAUGAAAUAUAGGAAGAGUCGCUAGGGGUCACCCCACCCCUCCUGUUUUAGAAUUUAAAAAUGGUCGAGAUCCCCAUCCCUAAACCAUAUAUAUUCAUGUAUGACAAUAUAACAAAUCAGAUGAUAUAUAGGGGGAGUCCCUUGGGUCACCCCACCCCCUCCUGUUUGAGAAUUUGAAACCCAUUGAGAUCGCCACCCCUUAACCAUAUAUAUUCAUGUACGGGACAAU